AUGAACAUUGCGCUCCUCUCCCGCUGGCUCUGGCGCAUUGCCCAGGGUCAUGGCGGCCUCUGGCUGGACAUUAUCCGGAACAAAUACCUUCGGGGUCAACCCCUUGCCUUCUGCCAGAGAUCGGGCGGCUCCCAGUUCUGGCAGUCCAUUGUUCAGCUCCUCCCGGUACUCCGCAUUGGGACCUCCAUCUCGGUUGGCUCCGGCCUCUCGACUCUCUUCUGGUAUGAUCGUUGGGCCGGUGACUCCCCCUUCGCGGCCCGCUUCCCCUCCCUCUUUUCUAUCUCCGUUGACCCCAUGAUUUCGGUCAAUAGGGCCCUUCUUGAUCUGGGGCGUCUGGCCUUUCGUCGACCGUUCGGGCCGGCGGAAUCCGCCGCCUGGCGUGAGUUACUUGACUGCGUCGCGCUGCAUGAGCCACUGGUGGAUGACAGACCAGACCGCACCCGCUGGCGGCUAGAGCCGGCGGGCCUGUUCACCACCAAGUCGCUCUACUCGGCCAUCGCCCCCUCCUCCGCUCCUCUUCCCUUAUCUAUGGUCUGGUCCGUUCGUGUGCCACUGAAGAUUCGCAUUUUCAUGUGGCAAUGGAUCCGUGGUAGGCUCCCUUCUGGCGUGGAGGUCCGCAAGCGCAAUGACCCGGGCACUGGUAUCUGCCCGCUCUAUGGCGUCCCGGAGGACUCGAACCACAUCUUCUUCUCUUGCGUCUCCACCCAAUUCCUCUGGAGCUGCUUUCGCGAAGUCGUCGGCGGGACUUGGUGCCACACCAAUUUCCCGGACCUAUUUGAUGAACUCCAACUGUCCCCCGCGUCCACGCGCCACAUUAGGUGGCUUCAAGUUGGGGUGCUGGCCUGGACGCUGUGGACCGUUCGCAAUAAACUUGUGAUCCAGCACGCUCCCCUCCGUCGCUCUACUGACGCCCUCUACAAAUUCUCGGGUUUCUUGCAGCUUUGGCGGCCGCUUAGUCGCCCCCCGGACCGUGACGCCAUCUCCGCCUUCAUCGCCGACAUCCGAUCGAUGGCCGUCCGCCUCUCUCCGCCGCCUCCGCCGGAGCCUGAUUAG
RNAcentral lists this ribosomal RNA (1053 nucleotides) under Triticum aestivum (bread wheat). RNAcentral describes it as "partial small subunit ribosomal RNA". The record is from RNAcentral. Lineage: Eukaryota; Viridiplantae; Streptophyta; Magnoliopsida; Poales; Poaceae.